This 93-nucleotide small nucleolar RNA is filed under the name Otolemur garnettii (small-eared galago). Its description in RNAcentral is "Small nucleolar RNA U3 (ENSOGAG00000022476.1)". The record is from RNAcentral. Lineage: Eukaryota; Metazoa; Chordata; Mammalia; Primates; Galagidae.
AAGACUAUACUUUCAGGGAUCGUUUCUAUAGUUUGUUAAAAGGACAACAUUUUAACUACUGCUAUGGUCAAAAGGAGUCUAAGGAAAUGUGGC